This 380-nucleotide ribosomal RNA is filed under the name Bacillus pumilus. Its description in RNAcentral is "bacterial SSU rRNA". It matches the Rfam family "Bacterial small subunit ribosomal RNA", at positions 154 to 520 of the family's 1533-position model. Lineage: Bacteria; Bacillati; Bacillota; Bacilli; Caryophanales; Bacillaceae. The record is from RNAcentral.
CCGCCGGAGCUAAUACCGGAUAGUUCCUUGAACCGCAUGGUUCAAGGAUGAAAGACGGUUUCGGCUGUCACUUACAGAUGGACCCGCGGCGCAUUAGCUAGUUGGUGGGGUAAUGGCUCACCAAGGCGACGAUGCGUAGCCGACCUGAGAGGGUGAUCGGCCACACUGGGACUGAGACACGGCCCAGACUCCUACGGGAGGCAGCAGUAGGGAAUCUUCCGCAAUGGACGAAAGUCUGACGGAGCAACGCCGCGUGAGUGAUGAAGGUUUUCGGAUCGUAAAGCUCUGUUGUUAGGGAAGAACAAGUGCGAGAGUAACUGCUCGCACCUUGACGGUACCUAACCAGAAAGCCACGGCUAACUACGUGCCAGCAGCCGCGG